RNAcentral lists this unclassified non-coding RNA (214 nucleotides) under Hevea brasiliensis (rubber tree). The record is from RNAcentral. Lineage: Eukaryota; Viridiplantae; Streptophyta; Magnoliopsida; Malpighiales; Euphorbiaceae.
UGUUGACUGGUGCCCUACUGGAUUUAAGUGUGGUAUUAACUAUCAGCCGCCUACUGUGGUUCCGGGUGGUGACCUUGCCAAAGUUCAGAGGGCAGUUUGCAUGAUCUCCAACUCUACCAGUGUUGCUGAGGUGUUCUCUCGCAUUGAUCAUAAGUUUGAUCUGAUGUAUGCAAAGCGUGCUUUUGUUCAUUGGUAUGUUGGUGAGGGUAUGGAA